This is a long non-coding RNA of Peromyscus leucopus (white-footed mouse), 721 nucleotides long. RefSeq lists it as uncharacterized. Lineage: Eukaryota; Metazoa; Chordata; Mammalia; Rodentia; Cricetidae. The transcript is spliced from 4 exons. The record is from RefSeq and is a predicted model, not a curated record.
ACCUCCAGAACAUUUCUGUGGCAACAGCUCCGUGGCCGGGCUGCCUCCUCUCACAGCCCUGUCUCGUGUCUACUCCCCACACGGUGUCUCUUCUGCCUGUAUCAUAUGCUUGCUCUUCCCUCCUCCCACGUGUCCUCCCCUGUUUUGACUGGACACGUGCUCACAGGUCCUACAAGACCUAGGUCAAAGAGACUUCCCUGGAGGAGCCUUCCCUGGGUGCUAAGGGAAGUGGCUUUUCCUCUCCUCCAUGCCUCGCUGUGUAUCCUCUGAAGCCUGGAGGGCACUUGUAAUGUACCUGUCUUGGGGUCUGUCCGCCUGGUCACAUGCGUGCUCUGGAACGCCAGCGAAACAGGAAAACUCCAGGUUGCAUACAAACGACCUUUGCACUGUGAUUGAGGCGACCGUAGCUGGGGUUGUCCUGAACUGACUCUGAUGUUUAUCAUCAUUUCUCCACUGGACUAAAUGCCCGAAGAGCAACCUUCCUGCCUGCCUGUUGCAAGUCCCAAACACCCAGAUCACCCAGUGCCACUUGGAAACAUUUGGUCAGAGAUGACAGCGAUGACGUCUGGAUCCCUUGAGUUCCAGGUGGACAUUCUGCACUGUCCAAAGACUCGUUUAUUCUCUUGUUCUUUGGAGGGACUAAGACCCCCAAGAAAAAAGCCUCUCUGAAUGGACAAAGUCUCUAAGCCCCAAAUAAAGUUAACCCAAAAUGCCUCCUGUA